Molecule: long non-coding RNA, 482 nt
Filed under: Capra hircus (goat)
Lineage: Eukaryota; Metazoa; Chordata; Mammalia; Artiodactyla; Bovidae
Description: lncRNA (ENSCHIG00010010267.1)
Source: RNAcentral
UAAUUGUGGUUAUUUGUGGGUGGGUCGAUACGGACAGUAUUUUCACUACUUGCUCUCAUCAGGCUAGAAAAUAAAACAAAGCAGCUAACUGACCUCUUUACACUGGUUCAGAGUCACCAAGAGCGGUUUAGGAAUACUGGCAUUUUAACAGCCUACGAGAGACAGCUUUUUAAUGGAAGGAGUCAAGCCGUUCACUGAAGAGUUUAGAUCCAGCCACCCGACUUAACUCAAGAGGACUGCCUGAGAUGCCAGAUGCCAGGUGGGAAUAUGAUGUUCACGUAAGCUGAGGUCAGCUGCAGGCCACAGUUCAGACGUUGUUGUUGUUGCUUACCAACCAGGUGACGAGUUUAGAUUGUGGCAGUGAACACACGGGGCUUCCCAGGUGGCUGUGGGCAGCAACCCGCCUGCCAGUGCGGAAGACGUGGCUUCUGUCCCUGGGUCGGGAAGAGCUCCUGGACAAGGCAAUGGCACCCCGCUCCGGU